UUCCGGUUGAUCCUGCCGGAGGCCACUGCUAUUGGGAUCCGACUAAGCCAUGCGAGUCGAGAGGGUUCGGCCCUCGGCAGACUGCUCAGUAACACGUGGAUAAUCUACCCUUAGGUGGAGGAUACUCUCGGGAAACUGAGAAUAAUACUCCAUAGAUCCAGGAUGCUGGAAUGCACCUAGAUUGAAAGUUCCGGCGCCUAAGGAUGAGUCUGCGGACUAUCAGGUAGUAGUCAGGGUAAAGACCUGACUAGCCUACGACGGAUACGGGUUGUGAGAGCAAUAGCCCGGAGACGAUAUCUGAGACACGAUAUCGGGCCCUACGGGGCGCAGCAGGCGCGAAAUCUUCACAAUGUGCGAAAGCACGAUGAGGGGAUCCCAAGUGUUGGUUCGUAAGAAUCAUCUGUUUCUUUGUCUAAAAAACAGAGAGAGUAAGAGCUGGGUAAGACGGGUGCCAGCCGCCGCGGUAAUACCUGCAGCUCAAGUGGUGGCCGCUAUUAUUGGGCCUAAAACGUCCGUAGCCGGUUUAGUAAAUGCUUGGGUAAAUUGUGUAGCUCAACUAUACGAAUACCGAGUAGACUGCUGAACUUGGGACCGGGAGAGGCUAGAGGUACUCCUAGGGUAGAGGUGAAAUUCUGUAAUCCUAGGGGGACCACCAGUGGCGAAGGCGUCUAGCUAGAACGGGUCUGACGGUGAGGGACGAAGCCCUGGGGCGCAAACCGGAUUAGAUACCCGGGUAGUCCAGGGUGUAAACGCUGCUCGCUUGAUGUUAGUUGGGCUCCGAGCCCAACUAGUGUCGGAGAGAAGUUGUUAAGCGAGCUGCCUGGGAAGUACGGUCGCAAGGCUGAAACUUAAAGGAAUUGGCGGGGGAGCACAGCAACGGGUGGAGCGUGCGGUUUAAUUGGAGUCAACGCCGGGA
Molecule: ribosomal RNA, 916 nt
Filed under: uncultured archaeon
Lineage: Archaea
Description: bacterial SSU rRNA
Rfam family: Archaeal small subunit ribosomal RNA
Source: RNAcentral